This 594-nucleotide long non-coding RNA is filed under the name Ananas comosus (pineapple). Its description in RNAcentral is "long non-coding RNA (ACOM_LNC004163)". Lineage: Eukaryota; Viridiplantae; Streptophyta; Magnoliopsida; Poales; Bromeliaceae. The record is from RNAcentral.
CACCUGCAAGUUUAUUUCCCUACAUGGCUUAGUUUCAAAUUUUUAACUUCUUUUGGUAAAACAAAAAAUAGAAAAAUUAUCAUUUGUAUUCACCUAUAUAUAUGAUAACUAGCUUUUCACCCGUGCGAUGCACGGCUAAUAUAAUAAUAUAAAAUAAUAAAAGUUAUUACGUGAUGAUAAAAAAAAUAUUCUAAUUAAUAUUAUAUUUUUUUAACAAAUAAAAAAAUAUACUAUCAAUCUUAAUUAUAGUACAUAUUAAAGUACACAAGCUAGAGAAAAAAAAUUUUGGACCAAAGUAAAUACUCAAGUAAAAUGCAAAAUUCAACCCUGCUCUAUUAUCUAUGAAUUGAUGUGCAAAAUAAUUUACAUUUACAUAUUGGUGUGCAAAACAAAAUGAUAACUAAAAUUGAUAUGAAAAAUUACAAAUGACAUUAAUAUUUAAGUUUAUAAUGAGAUUAACUAAACUUUCAUAUUUGACACAAAUUAGAGUAGGCACACGUAUAUUAUUUCCCUACUGUCACUUUUAAGAUUCAAAAAUAUAUAGAUGUUGGUGUUCAAGAUAAUAUAAAGAAAAAAAUUUGCAUAAAGAUAGAA